CCCAUUUUUUCUUUUGAGACAAGAUCUCGCUCUGUUGACCAGGCUGCAGUGUAGUGGCAUGAUCUCAGUUCACUGCAGCCUGGACCUCCUGAGCUCAAGUCAUCCUCCUACCUCCACCUCCAGAGCAGCUGGGAGUACAGGUGCACACGAUUAUGCCCCGUUAUUUCCUUUUUUUUUUUUUUGGCAGAGAUAGGGGUCUCACUAUGUUGCCCAGGCUGGUCUCGAACUCCUAGACUCAAGCAAUUCUCUUGCUUCAGUCUCCUAAAGUGUGGAGACUACAGGCGUGAGCCACUGUGCCUAGCCCCCCUUUCUUCAUUACUGCGCUUCCCUCCCUAAUUCUGUACAUAUCUCUCAUUCUCCCCCUUCUCUCUCUAGCUCUUGUUUUCUUUUCUUUCUCCCUGGGAUUCUGCUCUUCAUUUUGUACCCCUCUUCUCUUCUGCUGUUUAUCCCCCUUCUUCCCUCUAUUCCUUCUCUUCCAUCUCUUCUGCUCCAUCCUCGCAACUUAUUUAACCUCUUAUUGCUCCUUCUCCCCAAUCUUUCAAUCGUCCUCAAUCUCCAUCUAUUUCUCCAGUUGCUUUUCUCCACCUGCUUUUCUAGGUUUUCUACUGCUGUCUGUCUCCUGAUCCCUUCGGCCCACACAAUCGCAGGAGGGUUUGGAGUAAGACGCCUGCAUCCCGGAGGAGCGCGUUUUCCAAGGGCUGGAGCUCGGCAGGCAAGAAGACCCCAUGUCACAGGACAGGGCCCUGCGUCCUUCCCAGUCAGACAGACCCGGGACGGGACCAGCCUCCAGACGACUUUAAACCCGAAAGGAAGCGACACCCGGCCUCUCACUGGGCUGUCUCAAUUUGCUCUGGGCGAAGGAAGACGGGCGAGAAUUUCCAG
Molecule: long non-coding RNA, 882 nt
Filed under: Homo sapiens (human)
Lineage: Eukaryota; Metazoa; Chordata; Mammalia; Primates; Hominidae
Description: HSALNT0261925
Source: RNAcentral